RNAcentral lists this ribosomal RNA (1464 nucleotides) under Salmonella enterica subsp. enterica serovar Schwarzengrund. RNAcentral's name for it is "bacterial SSU rRNA". It matches the Rfam family "Bacterial small subunit ribosomal RNA". Lineage: Bacteria; Pseudomonadati; Pseudomonadota; Gammaproteobacteria; Enterobacterales; Enterobacteriaceae. The record is from RNAcentral.
UUUGCUGACGAGUGGCGGACGGGUGAGUAAUGUCUGGGAAGCUGCCUGAUGGAGGGGGAUAACUACUGGAAACGGUGGCUAAUACCGCAUAACGUCGCAAGACCAAAGAGGGGGACCUUCGGGCCUCUUGCCAUCAGAUGUGCCCAGAUGGGAUUAGCUUGUUGGUGAGGUAACGGCUCACCAAGGCGACGAUCCCUAGCUGGUCUGAGAGGAUGACCAGCCACACUGGAACUGAGACACGGUCCAGACUCCUACGGGAGGCAGCAGUGGGGAAUAUUGCACAAUGGGCGCAAGCCUGAUGCAGCCAUGCCGCGUGUAUGAAGAAGGCCUUCGGGUUGUAAAGUACUUUCAGCGGGGAGGAAGGUGUUGUGGUUAAUAACCGCAGCAAUUGACGUUACCCGCAGAAGAAGCACCGGCUAACUCCGUGCCAGCAGCCGCGGUAAUACGGAGGGUGCAAGCGUUAAUCGGAAUUACUGGGCGUAAAGCGCACGCAGGCGGUCUGUCAAGUCGGAUGUGAAAUCCCCGGGCUCAACCUGGGAACUGCAUUCGAAACUGGCAGGCUUGAGUCUUGUAGAGGGGGGUAGAAUUCCAGGUGUAGCGGUGAAAUGCGUAGAGAUCUGGAGGAAUACCGGUGGCGAAGGCGGCCCCCUGGACAAAGACUGACGCUCAGGUGCGAAAGCGUGGGGAGCAAACAGGAUUAGAUACCCUGGUAGUCCACGCCGUAAACGAUGUCUACUUGGAGGUUGUGCCCUUGAGGCGUGGCUUCCGGAGCUAACGCGUUAAGUAGACCGCCUGGGGAGUACGGCCGCAAGGUUAAAACUCAAAUGAAUUGACGGGGGCCCGCACAAGCGGUGGAGCAUGUGGUUUAAUUCGAUGCAACGCGAAGAACCUUACCUGGUCUUGACAUCCACAGAACUUUCCAGAGAUGGAUUGGUGCCUUCGGGAACUGUGAGACAGGUGCUGCAUGGCUGUCGUCAGCUCGUGUUGUGAAAUGUUGGGUUAAGUCCCGCAACGAGCGCAACCCUUAUCCUUUGUUGCCAGCGGUCCGGCCGGGAACUCAAAGGAGACUGCCAGUGAUAAACUGGAGGAAGGUGGGGAUGACGUCAAGUCAUCAUGGCCCUUACGACCAGGGCUACACACGUGCUACAAUGGCGCAUACAAAGAGAAGCGACCUCGCGAGAGCAAGCGGACCUCAUAAAGUGCGUCGUAGUCCGGAUUGGAGUCUGCAACUCGACUCCAUGAAGUCGGAAUCGCUAGUAAUCGUGGAUCAGAAUGCCACGGUGAAUACGUUCCCGGGCCUUGUACACACCGCCCGUCACACCAUGGGAGUGGGUUGCAAAAGAAGUAGGUAGCUUAACCUUCGGGAGGGCGCUUACCACUUUGUGAUUCAUGACUGGGGUGAAGUCGUAACAAGGUAACCGUAGGGGAACCUGCGGUUGGAUCACCUCCUUACCUUAAAGACGC